This 254-nucleotide ribosomal RNA is filed under the name uncultured bacterium. RNAcentral's name for it is "partial 16S ribosomal RNA". It matches the Rfam family "Bacterial small subunit ribosomal RNA", at positions 524 to 776 of the family's 1533-position model. The record is from RNAcentral.
UACGUAGGCAGCGAGCGUUGUUCGGAGUUACUGGGCGUAAAGGGUGUGUAGGCGGUUGUUUAAGUUUGGUGUGAAAUCUCCCGGCUCAACUGGGAGGGUGCGCCGAAUACUGAAUGACUUGGAGUGCGGGAGAGGAGAGUGGAAUUCCCAGUGUAGAGGUGAAAUUCGUAGAUAUUGGGAAGAACACCGGUGGCGAAGGCGGCGCUCUGGACCGAGACUGACGCUGAGGCGCGAAGGCGUGGGGAGCAAACAGG